UACGUAGGGGGCAAGCGUUGUCCGGAAUCAUUGGGCGUAAAGAGCGUGUAGGCGGCUUGGUAGGUCCGCUGUGAAAACUCGAGGCUCAACCUCGAGAUGUCGGCGGAAACCACUUGGCUAGAGUCCGGAAGAGGAGAAUGGAAUUCCCGGUGUAGCGGUGAAAUGCGCAGAUAUCGGGAAGAACACCCGUGGCGAAGGCGGUUCUCUGGGACGGUACUGACGCUGAGACGCGAAAGCGUGGGGAGCGAACAGG
This 253-nucleotide ribosomal RNA is filed under the name uncultured bacterium. RNAcentral describes it as "partial 16S ribosomal RNA". It matches the Rfam family "Bacterial small subunit ribosomal RNA", at positions 524 to 776 of the family's 1533-position model. The record is from RNAcentral.